CAGGUAGACUCCGCCCGGACUCCCACGGGAGCCAGACCUCAUCCUCAACUUUGACUGCAGGUAGACUCCGUCCGGACUCCUGCGGGAGCCGGACCUCAUCCCUGGCUUCGACUACAGGUAGACUCCACCCGAACUCCUAUGGGAGCCAGACUUCAUCCUCGGCUCCGACUGCAGAUAGACUCCAUCUGGACUCCUACGGGAGCCAGACUUCAUCCUCGGCUCUGACUGCAGAUAGACUCCAUCUGGACUCCUACGGGAGCUGAACUUCAUCCCCGGCUUCAACUACAAGCGAACUUCGUCCGGGUUCCUACGGGAGCUGAUCUUCGAGCUUCUACGGCCAGCGGUCCUCGCUUGCCACCUUAAUGCCCAAGGCACUCCACGGGAUUUACAGCAUCCGAGCUCCUCUCAAAUGGGCAGCUAGCCACCUUUCUCUGCCAGACACCUCAACCGAACCUCGGCC
RNAcentral lists this long non-coding RNA (460 nucleotides) under Elaeis guineensis (African oil palm). RNAcentral's name for it is "long non-coding RNA (EGUI_LNC050655)". Lineage: Eukaryota; Viridiplantae; Streptophyta; Magnoliopsida; Arecales; Arecaceae. The record is from RNAcentral.